Small nucleolar RNA from Lolium rigidum, 91 nucleotides. RefSeq annotates it as small nucleolar RNA snoR1. The record is from RefSeq and is a predicted model, not a curated record. The transcript has a single exon. Lineage: Eukaryota; Viridiplantae; Streptophyta; Magnoliopsida; Poales; Poaceae.
UGCCGUGAUGAUUGCUUACUUCUGACACCUCUUGUACGAGAGGCGCCUCGAUGCGCUUCGCUGAGCAGAUUGCAGCUAUAAUGUCUGAGCA